GUAAGGAAUCUUCCACAAUGGGCGAAAGCCUGAUGGAGCAACGCCGCGUGCAGGAUGAAGGCCCUCGGGUCGUAAACUGCUUUUAUGAGUGAAGAAUAUGACGGUAACUCAUGAAUAAGCACCGGCUAACUACGUGCCAGCAGCCGCGGUCAUACGUAGGGUGCAAGCAUUAUCCGGAGUGACUGGGCGUAAAGAGUUGCGUAGGCGGUUAGUAAAGCGAAUAGUGAAACCUGGUGGCUCAACCAUCAGACUAUUGUUCGAACUCACUAACUCGAGAGUGGUAGAGGUAACUGGAAUUUCUUGUGUAGGAGUGAAAUCCGUAGAUAUAAGAAGGAACACCAAUGGCGUAGGCAGGUUACUGGACCAUUUCUGACGCUAAGGCACGAAAGCGUGGGGAGCGAACCGGAUUAGAUACCCGGGUAGUCC
RNAcentral lists this ribosomal RNA (426 nucleotides) under uncultured bacterium. RNAcentral describes it as "bacterial SSU rRNA". It matches the Rfam family "Bacterial small subunit ribosomal RNA", at positions 354 to 796 of the family's 1533-position model. The record is from RNAcentral.